AGGGGAGUGAAAAAGAACCUGAAACCGUGUACGUACAAGCAGUGGGAGCACGCUUAGGCGUGUGACUGCGUACCUUUUGUAUAAUGGGUCAGCGACUUAUAUUCUGUAGCAAGGUUAACCGAAUAGGGGAGCCGAAGGGAAACCGAGUCUUAACUGGGCGUUAAGUUGCAGGGUAUAGACCCGAAACCCGGUGAUCUAGCCAUGGGCAGGUUGAAGGUUGGGUAACACUAACUGGAGGACCGAACCGACUAAUGUUGAAAAAUUAGCGGAUGACUUGUGGCUGGGGGUGAAAGGCCAAUCAAACCGGGAGAUAGCUGGUUCUCCCCGAAAGCUAUUUAGGUAGCGCCUCGUGAAUUCAUCUCCGGGGGUAGAGCACUGUUUCGGCAAGGGGGUCAUCCCGACUUACCAACCCGAUGCAAACUGCGAAUACCGGAGAAUGUUAUCACGGGAGACACACGGCGGGUGCUAACGUCCGUCGUGAAGAGGGAAACAACCCAGACCGCCAGCUAAGGUCCCAAAGUCAUGGUUAAGUGGGAAACGAUGUGGGAAGGCCCAGACAGCCAGGAUGUUGGCUUAGAAGCAGCCAUCAUUUAAAGAAAGCGUAAUAGCUCACUGGUCGAGUCGGCCUGCGCGGAAGAUGUAACGGGGCUAAACCAUGCACCGAAGCUGCGGCAGCGACGCUGAUGCGUUGUUGGGUAGGGGAGCGUUCUGUAAGCCUGUGAAGGUGUGCUGUGAGGCAUGCUGGAGGUAUCAGAAGUGCGAAUGCUGACAUAAGUAACGAUAAAGCGGGUGAAAAGCCCGCUCGCCGGAAGACCAAGGGUUCCUGUCCAACGUUAAUCGGGGCAGGGUGAGUCGACCCCUAAGGCGAGGCCGAAAGGCGUAGUCGAUGGGAAACAGGUUAAUAUUCCUGUACUUGGUGUUACUGCGAAGGGGGGACGGAGAAGGCUAUGUUGGCCGGGCGACGGUUGUCCCGGUUUAAGCGUGUAGGCUGGUUUUCCAGGCAAAUCCGGAAAAUCAAGGCUGAGGCGUGAUGACGAGGCACUACGGUGCUGAAGCAACAAAUGCCCUGCUUCCAGGAAAAGCCUCUAAGCAUCAGGUAACAUCAAAUCGUACCCCAAACCGACACAGGUGGUCAGGUAGAGAAUACCAAGGCGCUUGAGAGAACUCGGGUGAAGGAACUAGGCAAAAUGGUGCCGUAACUUCGGGAGAAGG
Molecule: ribosomal RNA, 1212 nt
Filed under: Escherichia coli
Lineage: Bacteria; Pseudomonadati; Pseudomonadota; Gammaproteobacteria; Enterobacterales; Enterobacteriaceae
Description: partial 23S ribosomal RNA
Rfam family: Bacterial large subunit ribosomal RNA
Source: RNAcentral